Molecule: long non-coding RNA, 360 nt
Organism: Platichthys flesus (European flounder)
Lineage: Eukaryota; Metazoa; Chordata; Actinopteri; Pleuronectiformes; Pleuronectidae
Exons: 2
Source: RefSeq, a predicted model, not a curated record
UGGAGUUGUAGAGUGAAUUAGACAGUAGUGAUAACAUUAUAAUGUCCACACAUCAGUGUUGUAAACACUUCUCCAAUUAAUUAUAUAAUUAUGUUUUCACACUGAGGGAAGUGGAGAGACUUGAUGUGGACUGUUAUCAACAGCUCUGUGGGAGAUCAUCACCUUGAAUAUUACAGAUGAGAUGAAGAACUGCAGCACCUGAUGUCCUCAGCAGCAACAUGGUGGAGAUCUGAUUUGAUACACUUUAGAUAAGAACCCAGUGUUUUAUAUUUCUGCUUUGCCAUAAGAGACAGAACAUGGUCAUCACAGCUGUGUCCUUCAGGCUCGUCUGUCCCUAAUAAAAUGAUAGGAAACAUGAAA